GGUGGCGGCCAGCGCUGCCAGUUCACCUGCAGCGACGGUGGAUUGCGGUUCGUGCGCCUGUCUUUCCUUGACAAGUGUGUCUCUGCAGUGCAUUCGAAUGCGUGCGGCUCGAUUCAAGCGAGCAUGGUACAAUCCUGCGUAGCGUAUGGGUGCACAAAUCGCGCGAUUCCUGCUUCCAAGAUCACAUUUCACAGGUUUCCAAAAGAUGCUGAGACACGGAACCUAUGGGAGCGAGCUGUGCGUCGUGAACACUGGAAACCGACAGAUAAAGAUCGCCUUUGCUCUGCGCACUUUGAUCCGGCGUGUUUUGACCGGACCGGACAAACAACAAGGUUGAAAGCGGGAAGUGUGCCGACUUCGUUCGCUGCUUUUCCUGCCCACCUCCAGGCACCGGUGAAAAGGAAGCGGCCAGCACCAAAACC
Molecule: long non-coding RNA, 422 nt
Organism: Rhipicephalus microplus (southern cattle tick)
Lineage: Eukaryota; Metazoa; Arthropoda; Arachnida; Ixodida; Ixodidae
Source: RefSeq, a predicted model, not a curated record